GUGAAGAACGCAGCGAAAUGCGAUAAGUAAUGUGAAUUGCAGAAUUCAGUGAAUCAUCGAAUCUUUGAACGCACAUUGCGCCCGCCAGUAUUCUGGCGGGCAUGCCUGUUCGAGCGUCAUUUCAACCAUCAAGCCCCGGGCUUGUGUUGGGGACCUGCGGCUGCCGCAGGCCCUGAAAAGCAGUGGCGGGCUCGCUGUCACACCGAGCGUAGUAGCAUACAUCUCGCUCUGGGCGUGCUGCGGGUUCCGGCCGUUAAACCACCUUUUAACCCAAGGUUGACCUCGGAUCAGGUAGGAAGACCCGCUGAACUUAAGCAUAUCAAUAAGCGGAGGA
This 334-nucleotide unclassified non-coding RNA is filed under the name soil metagenome. Its description in RNAcentral is "partial contains 5.8S ribosomal RNA, internal transcribed spacer 2, and large subunit ribosomal RNA". The stretch from base 2 to 119 matches the Rfam family "5.8S ribosomal RNA", at positions 37 to 154 of the family's 154-position model. The record is from RNAcentral.